Zingiber officinale is the source of this 203-nucleotide long non-coding RNA. RefSeq lists it as uncharacterized. The transcript is spliced from 2 exons. The record is from RefSeq and is a predicted model, not a curated record. NCBI's taxonomy places the organism in Eukaryota, Viridiplantae, Streptophyta, Magnoliopsida, Zingiberales, Zingiberaceae.
CUAUGAUCCGGAGUUGUCAAUUCAAAUUCUUUUACAACAAAGAGAUGAAAGAGCUCAAGUAGAACAAUAUAUGCGACUAGUUGCUUUUUGGAACACAGAAAAAUCAAAGGAAAGAAGUGAAAAGAAUAAAAAUGCAAGAAAGCAAAGGAUAAUGAAUCAAACCACAGGAAGGACAUCUUUUUCUCAAGUGCAACAAACAUUGG